RNAcentral lists this ribosomal RNA (433 nucleotides) under uncultured bacterium. RNAcentral's name for it is "partial 16S ribosomal RNA". It matches the Rfam family "Bacterial small subunit ribosomal RNA", at positions 29 to 507 of the family's 1533-position model. The record is from RNAcentral.
AACGAACGCUGGCGGCAUGCCUAACACAUGCAAGUCGAACGAGACCUUCGGGUCUAGUGGCGCACGGGUGCGUAACGCGUGGGAACCUGCCCUUAGGUUCGGAAUCACUCCCCGAAAGGGGUGCUAAUACCGGAUAAUGUCUUCGGACCAAAGAUUUCUCGCCUUUGGAUGGGCCCGCGUUGGAUUAGCUAGUUGGUAGGGUAAAAGCCUACCAAGGCGACGAUCCAUAGCUGGUCUGAGAGGAUGAUCAGGCACACUGGGACUGAGACACGGCCCAGACUCGUACGGGAGGGAGCAGUGGGGAAUAUUGGACAAGGGGGGAUGGCCUGAUCCCGCAAUGCCGGGUGAGUGAUGAAGGCCGUAGGGUUGUACAGCUCUUUUACCCGGGAUGAUAAUGACAGUACCGGGAGAAUAAGCACCGGCUAACUACGUG